RNAcentral lists this ribosomal RNA (838 nucleotides) under uncultured bacterium. RNAcentral's name for it is "bacterial SSU rRNA". It matches the Rfam family "Bacterial small subunit ribosomal RNA", at positions 609 to 1447 of the family's 1533-position model. The record is from RNAcentral.
UCANCCAUAGUGUGCUCUGGAAACUGUCUGACUUGAGUGCAGAAGGGGAGAGUGGAAUUCCAUGUGUAGCGGUGAAAUGCGUAGAUAUAUGGAGGAACACCAGUGGCGAAAGCGGCUCUCUGGUCUGUCACUGACGCUGAGGCUCGAAAGCGUGGGUAGCGAACAGGAUUAGAUACCCUGGUAGUNCACGCCGUAAACGAUGAGUGCUAGGUGUUAGGCCCUUUCCGGGGCUUAGUGCCGGAGCUAACGCAAUAAGCACUCCGCCUGGGGAGUACGACCGCAAGGUUGAAACUCAAAGGAAUUGACGGGGGCCCGCACAAGCGGUGGAGCAUGUGGUUUAAUUCGAAGCAACGCGAAGAACCUUACCAGGUCUUGACAUCCCGAUGCUAUUCUUAGAGAUAGGAAGUUACUUCGGUACAUCGGAGACAGGUGGUGCAUGGUUGUCGUCAGCUCGUGUCGUGAGAUGUUGGGUUAAGUCCCGCAACGAGCGCAACCCUUAUUGUUAGUUGCCAUCAUUAAGUUGGGCACUCUAGCGAGACUGCCGGUAAUAAACCGGAGGAAGGUGGGGAUGACGUCAAAUCAUCAUGCCCCUUAUGACCUGGGCUACACACGUGCUACAAUGGUCGGUACAACGAGUUGCGAGCCGGUGACGGCAAGCUAAUCUCUGAAAGCCGAUCUCAGUUCGGAUUGGAGGCUGCAACUCGCCUCCAUGAAGUCGGAAUCGCUAGUAAUCGCGGAUCAGCACGCCGCGGUGAAUACGUUCCCGGGCCUUGUACACACCGCCCGUCACACCACGAGAGUUUGUAACACCCGAAGUCGGUGAGGUANCCUUUUAGGG